Molecule: transfer RNA, 76 nt
Filed under: Candidatus Methanoplasma termitum
Lineage: Archaea; Methanobacteriati; Thermoplasmatota; Thermoplasmata; Methanomassiliicoccales; Methanomassiliicoccaceae
Also listed under: 1 other name
Description: tRNA-Val (CAC) (tRNA-Val-CAC-1-1)
Rfam family: tRNA
About the family: Transfer RNA (tRNA) molecules are approximately 80 nucleotides in length.
Source: RNAcentral
GGGCCUGUGGUCUAGGGGUUAUGACGUCUCCUUCACACGGAGAAGGUCGCCGGUUCAAAUCCGGCCGGGCCCACCA